AUGAAUCCCAAAAGAAAUUCUGCUUCACACAAAAACAUGUCUGUUCAAAAAGAAAAUCAUUAUAAAAGUUCAAAUGAUAUGGUUCCUAUGUCCAGAUACGACAAAGAAGUCACUGAAUACCCAGAGAAAAGAAACUUUACAGAAAAUCCUGAAGAAACUGUAGAGUCAUCAAACACUAAUAUUUUUACGGCUGGGGAAGUUUCAACCCUCACUCAGGUUUUUCAUGUAUUACUAGAGAAAGAAAAUUAUUUGACUCAAUUUGGUGAAGGUACAUUAGCAAAGUUCUAUGCACAUAUCAUGGAGAACACUGGUGUCAACUUAGAAUCAUCUUUUGUCAAAGACCAAGGUCUUUAUGUGACAGUGUUUGGCAACCCAGAAGCUGUCACAAACGCUGAGAAUGAAAUUUUUAAAUGGUGUCAAGAACAAUAUUUACCCUUAACUCUCAUUUCCAAACAAGAACAUUGCUUUUUUCUAGACCAGACUGGAGAUAAAUCACAAGAUUUGGAGCAAGAUGCUGAAAUAAAUACUCAGAUCAUAAGUCCACCUAAUCAGAGUAAAAUUAUAAACACUGUUGAUGCAAAUCGUACAAAGAUGAAGUCUUCAGAUGGAAGCCUAUCUACAUCUGCCAGAAGUAGUAAGAAUGAUAUCCAGAUACUAGAAAUGGAGAAAACAUUUAAUCCCCUGACUGCUAAACCAUACCUUCAAGCAAGUGACAUUUUUCAAGAAACAGAGGAGCAUGUCCCUUUUCAACUCUCUAGUGCCAAGGAGACAGAUGUAGAUAUUAAUGAAAGACAACUGCAUGUGGAUCAGACAGGUUGUCGUAAAAAUGAUAUCAUUGAGACCAGUACUGUAACUGAGGGUAUGAUGAUGAAGUUUCAAGGCAACUGUACCAGAACUGUCAAAAGAAAUUUUCUGGAAGAGAUCCUAGAAACAAGUGAAGAUUCAACUGAACAAUCACAGUCAGAAAGCCUAUCAGAUUCUAUGACACAACACAGUGAUCCUGACAGUUCUGAGGAGGUAUUUAAUGAAGCUGAUGUCAAUGAUGAUGAUUAUAUUGUUUCUUCGAUCUUUGCUCCUUCUUGGUUGCACAGGUUCAUUAUUGGUAAGAAAGGUGAGAAAAUAGCUGAGAUAACAGAGUGUGUACCAAAGGUUCAAAUACACUUUACAGCAAAAGAUAAAAUAACACUGAAAGGACCAGCAGAUGAUGUAAAUUAUGCUCAAGAAAAAUUUGACAUCAUUGUCAAGGACCUAAUGAGCAAAAUGGAAUAUACUGAGAUAAACACUGACAGUAAAUUUCACAAGUACCUGACAGGGAAUAAUGGGGAGAUCCUAAAUAGAAUUACAGAGAAGACCCAAGUCUCUAUCACAAUGUUUCCUGAAAAUGAAUCGAACCACUCAAUCCGAAUUGAAGGAGAAUCUCUGGGUGUCCACCAGGCCAAAAAAGAACUGCUUGAUCUAGCAAAUAACUUGGAAGAAGAUUACAGCCAGGACAUAAUCAUCAAACACCAAUUUCACCACAUACUUAUUGGGCAAAAAGGUGAAAGGGUUCGUGAAAUUUGUAAGAAAUUCCCUGAUGUUAUCCUCAAUUUUCCACAUCCAGCAGAGAAGAGUGAUAUUGUUCAACUGAUAGGGCCAAGAUAUGAAUCAGAAAAGUGUGCACAAUAUUUGGAGAAUAUGUUGACAGAUAUUAAAGAAAAUAACUAUUCUAUAAGCAUUUCUAUAACAAAAAAGCUUCACAAAAGAAUAAUUGGAAAAGGAGCAUCAAACAUUAAAAAAAUCUCUGAAACAACCAACACCCAAAUUAGUUUUCCACCAGAAAACUGCAAUUCAGAAGAGUUUAUCAUUACUGGAUAUCCAGAAAAUUGUGAAAUUGCACGUAACUGGAUUCUUUCAAUUCUGCAAGAGAUAGCUGAUACUGCAGAAGAGGAAAUUACCAUUUCUGCUAACCUAUACAAAUGCCUGACUAAUCCCAAAGAAUCUUUGUUAAAUUCAAUCAUAGAAGAAUGUGGAAAGAUCCACCUACAUUUUCCAAAAUCCAAGUCAAACCAGAAUAAAGUCAUUAUCAUGGGCUCUGUUGAAAGUGUUGAAAAGGCCAAAGCUAAGCUUCUAAAACUUGCAGAAGAAGAACAAGCUAAGAAUUACUCUGAGACUCUCCGUGUCAAAUCACAAUAUCAUCAAUUCCUACUGAACAAAAAUGGAGGUAAUAUUUCCAAAAUCUGUGAUGAUACUGGGACAUGUGUUCUUUUCCGUAACCCUACGAAUAAGGACCAAGAAUCCAUAACAAUUACAGGGACUGAGGAGUCUGUUAAAGAGGUGCAAAGACAACUAGAGGAUUUAGUUAAAGACUUAGAGAAUGAGGUAGACGAUUCCAUACUAAUAAGCCGUAAAUUUCAUCAUUAUUUUGUCAUGCGGAGGGGCCAGCUUUUAAAAGAAAUGGCAGAAGAGUAUGGUGGUGUCAGUAUUACAUUCUCUUAUGCAGGGAGACAGAAUACAAAAGUCACAAUAAAAGGCGCGAAACCUUGCGUUGAGGCAGCGAAGAAACACAUUAAGGAGAUUUUUGAGCCUUUGGGCUCCCAAGUUACAACACGGUAUGUUAUACCCCAGAAUUUCCAACCUUUUUUCAUGGGACCAAUAAGUUCACGAAUCCAACAAAUUGCUAGGGAUUAUAAAGUUGAAAUAAAAUUUUCAGAUGUAGAGAAACCAGUCCUAAAUAUGGAUCUAGGUACUCAGGAAAAAGGAAAAGAAAAGUGGAAAAAGACUACUAAAGAUCUUGCUCCUAAUUCUCCAAGGAAAAGUGAUACCAUAUUCAUUUCUGGCCAAGUGGAAAAUUGCAAGGCAGCUACUGAAGCUCUAGCAUCUAUAAUUCCCGUCACUGCUGAAGUUCAUGUGCCCCUUCACCUACAUCCUUACAUCAUUGGGCACAAGGGAAGUGGUUUACGAAAACUAGUAAAGGAAUUUGAAGUUCAUAUGCAGAUACCACAACCUGGAAAAAAUUCUGAUAUUAUAUCUAUUAUGGGCCUUGCAGCAAAUGUGGAACAAGCCAAGAUGAAAUUACAAAAGCGAGUCAAGGCUUUACAAAUGGAAAUAGAAGAUCGGACACUAAGAAAUUUUAAAUUAAUGUUCAAUCUAGAUCCUAAACAUCGAGCCAAGAUCACUGGUCAUAAGGGCUUGCUUAUUACACAAAUUUGCACAGAACAUGAUGUUACUGUCCGUUUUCCAAAGAAAGGAAGCCAUGAGAUGCAAGAUCAAAUCACUAUUACUGGGUAUAAGGAGAACACUCUAGCUGCUCGAGAUGCAAUAAUGAGAGUGUUACACAAAAUUGAAAAAACAAUUUCUAAGGAAAUCACACUUAACCAGCAGGUUCGUAGCAAUGUUAUUGGAUUCCGUGGAAAAACCAUCAAUAAAAUCAUGGAUCAAUACCAAGUAGAUGUAUGUUUACCUCCAAAAGGGUCCUAUAAUCCUAAUAUCACAGUGACUGGUCUCCCUGAUAAUGUAGAAAAAGCAAUUGAACAUAUUCUUAAUCUUGAAAAAUAUUAUCUGUCAGCUGUUGUAAGCCAUGGAUCUCAACAAGAACAAAUUAAAAGUAUGUCCCUUUGCAAUAUAGCCAUGACACCAUCCAAGAGUUUUGUGAGAAAGUAUGUUCCCUGUUAUGCUAAAACAAGCACAAAGCUCCCAGAUGUAGAUAGUUGUGAACACUUUCCAAGAUUAAAACAGCGAAUACCUUCAAAGACUCAUCCUGCAAAAUUGUGA
Molecule: RNA transcript, 3750 nt
Organism: Grammomys surdaster
Lineage: Eukaryota; Metazoa; Chordata; Mammalia; Rodentia; Muridae
Gene name: vigilin pseudogene
Exons: 1
Source: RefSeq, a predicted model, not a curated record